Papaver somniferum (opium poppy) is the source of this 768-nucleotide long non-coding RNA. RefSeq lists it as uncharacterized. The record is from RefSeq and is a predicted model, not a curated record. The transcript has 4 exons. NCBI's taxonomy places the organism in Eukaryota, Viridiplantae, Streptophyta, Magnoliopsida, Ranunculales, Papaveraceae.
AAAUGGAAGCCCUAAAAAUCACAAACUCAUUUCAUUCCUUCUUCUCUCUCAUGCCGCACUUCGAUCCCUCUUCCUCAAAACCCUAGAUGUACAGAAAGCGAGAAAUCGAGAGGGAAAUUUGUAGUUGAUAUCAAUGGAUUUUGUGAUUUAACAAUUGAUAAUCAGCAUUACCAGUAAAGAAAUUCAUGGAAGACGAAGAAGAAGGAGAAGAAAGUGAUAGAGGUAUUGAAAUGCGUUAUGUACCAUUUUUUCGUAUCAAUUCUUCAACGGAUCAUUAUGUUGCUGCUACUGUUGGAUCUCCAAAUGUUAUGUCUCAGAAGGGUUUUUACUAAGAUUGAUCUCUCUUCCUCCAUCUCACAACACUUUAAUCCCUAAUAAAGUGAUCUCUCUUCCUCUAUCUCGAAGAUUAAAGUUAAUGGGAUUUUUCAGAAACUUGUCAAAUGUGCAACAUGGAGGGAUAUUAUCUCAUGGAAAGCUUAAGCGAUUGCGUAGAUCGGUACUUCAUCUAAUUAGCCUACAUGGAGCCGAUCCAACUAUAUAGAACUCGGGGAAUUGUAAGUGUUCACCUCAUUUUUCGGGUACCUGAGUCUAGGUACUAACUUCAAGUUAUAACCUAUUUGUGUAGGUAUAAAACAUUUUUCGAUGGAUGUUGUUUGUUAAUUGUAGGCAUUUAAGGGCUUUUUACCGAUUGAGCACAAAACUUGUCAAUUAAUCUUAUCAUAUUGUAAUAUAUUCUAACUCCUUCCUUAAUAUAUAUCUGUUUAUCUA